RNAcentral lists this long non-coding RNA (749 nucleotides) under Androctonus crassicauda. Lineage: Eukaryota; Metazoa; Arthropoda; Arachnida; Scorpiones; Buthidae. The record is from RNAcentral.
ACAGAAAAUUAUAUUUUUGUUAACAGAAAAUAUAACAGAAAAUUAUAUUUUUGUUAACAGAAAAUAUAACAGAAAAUUAUAUUUUUGUUAAAAAAAUAGAAAAUUAAACAAAAUUAUAAGUUAAGAUGCUCCUCCUUCUUCCUUUCUUCCUUUUUCAUUAUAUAUGCCCAAGCAUCUGGAACCUCAAUUGUGGUUCUCUCGUUUGGUAUAGAGCUUUCUACUUUAGCUUUUAGUAUUUGCAACCCUUUAGUUAGUAGCACUUGUGUCUACUUCAGCACCAGCUUCACUAUUUUCGUCUCGUCCCAUUUUAUAGUUAUUUUAUCUGCAUAGGCAGCUUCUGCUAGGGUGGUGUUUGUAUGUUCCAUUACCAUGUCCCUUUUAUGGUCUGCAAUUCUUUGCUGGAGUGUUCUAAUAGUAACCCUGAUGUAUGAUGAAGUUUGUCCCAUGCUUUCAAGUUCUAAAUAUUGCUAAGCUUAAUGCCACUUUUGAUUCACAUCAUCUCAAUCAUAGCAAUGUUAGUCAUUGUUUUAAUUUAUAUGGCUGGUUUGCACUUAAGUUUGUUUACAUUAAUCUAUCAAACAAUUUCUAUUUAUUUGUUCACAGAAUAAUACCAAUAAUUGAGUCUUUCAUCGUUACAGUUAUUAUUAAUUAACAUUACAAUUAUAAUGUUUACAAUUCCAUUGAAAAGAGAUAAUUUUUUAACUUUAUUAUGAGAUUCUAGUCAGUCAGUGACUUUAUUCAGAUUGGAU